UGGCGAGGGUAAACGGCGGCCGUAAAGGGUCUUAAGGUAGCGAAAUUCAUUGUCUCUUAAUUGGAGUCCUGCAUGAAGUAACAACGAGGGGGAGACUGUCUCUUCAAGGUAUGUAGAGGAAAGUGACCUGUAGGUGAAAAUGCCUACAUACGCGUAAAAGGCGAUAAGACCCCGAGCAACUUUAUCUGUCGGAUGGAGUCGGUCCGUCUUCCAGGUUUGGCUGGGGCAGCAGGGGGAUAAGUAAAACUCCCACUAGUUACUUUAGCUGACGGGCUAAGACCUGCCUACUUAGCAAUAAGCGGGUUAGUUACGCCGGGGAUAACAGCGCGUUUCCCCAACAGAGGCCAUAUCAGUUGGGGUUCGGGCGACCUCGAUGUUGAAUCAAGGGAAAUCGGUAGGGCGCAGCAGCGUACCGGUGGGUCUGUUCGACCCUUAGAGUCUUACGUGAUCUGAGUUUAGACCGGA
RNAcentral lists this ribosomal RNA (465 nucleotides) under Malleus sp. RM3_PM_151. Its description in RNAcentral is "partial large subunit ribosomal RNA". It matches the Rfam family "Bacterial large subunit ribosomal RNA", at positions 1915 to 2620 of the family's 2925-position model. The record is from RNAcentral. Lineage: Eukaryota; Metazoa; Mollusca; Bivalvia; Pterioida; Malleidae.